This 228-nucleotide long non-coding RNA is filed under the name Malus domestica (apple). RNAcentral's name for it is "long non-coding RNA (MDOM_LNC013683)". Lineage: Eukaryota; Viridiplantae; Streptophyta; Magnoliopsida; Rosales; Rosaceae. The record is from RNAcentral.
UUGGAUGGAAACUCUUCUGGGUCCUUGAUGGUAUAACGUUGACCGGUGCUCAAUAGUUUCAGGAUUGGUCAAGUAUGGUACAAACAGUGCUCCCCUAAGUUCCCGAGUGAGGGAAGCUCAUCGGUUGGGGACUUGCAAGAUCCAAGCCAUUGAGUAAUCACGAAACUUCUAAGUACCGAAGUGUGGUAUCAUUUUCACUUGCCUUAUCUAUCUCAUACGUAGAUGUGG